GACGAACGCUGGCGGCGUGCUUAACACAUGCAAGUCGAACGGAAAGGCCUUUUCGGAGGUACUCGAGUGGCGAACGGGUGAGUAACACGUGGGUGAUCUGCCCUGCACUCUGGGAUAAGCCUGGGAAACUGGGUCUAAUACCGGAUAGGACCGCACUUUAGUGUGUGUGGUGGAAAGUUUUUUCGGUGUAGGAUGAGCCCGCGGCCUAUCAGCUUGUUGGUGGGGUAAUGGCCUACCAAGGCGGCGACGGGUAGCCGGACUGAGAGGUUGGUCGGCCACAUUGGGACUGAGAUACGGCCCAGACUCCUAAGGGAGGCAGAAGUGGGGAAUAUUGCACAAUGGGCGCAAGCCUGAUGCAGCGACGCCGCGUGGGGGAUGACGGCCUUCGGGUUGUAAAAUCCUUUCGCCAGGGACGAAGCGUUUUGUGACGGUACCUGGAGAAGAAGCACCGGCUAACUACGUG
RNAcentral lists this ribosomal RNA (463 nucleotides) under uncultured bacterium. RNAcentral's name for it is "partial 16S ribosomal RNA". It matches the Rfam family "Bacterial small subunit ribosomal RNA", at positions 28 to 507 of the family's 1533-position model. The record is from RNAcentral.